CUACCACCGUUCACCUCGUCCUUCACUAACCAAUCCCCGACCUACCUUUCCUACUCAAUCCCUUCGUUUCUGGGUCUCGAACAAAACGCCGUCGUGCUCCCUGAGUCUGACUCUGUGAGUGAAGUUGUUGUUGGAGUUUUGGAUACCGGAGUCUGGUCAAAAAGUAAAAGCUUCGAUGAUACUGGAUUUGGGCCAAUACUAAGUUCAUGGAAAGGAGAAUGUGAAACUGGAACAAAAUUCACUGCAUCAAACAGUAACAAGAAAUUGAUUGGAGCCAAGUAACAUCUUCGUUUUAUUCAAUUCUUAGCCGAUUAUUUUCAUAAACAUCUGGUAGUUGAAACUUGAAUUAUUGGUCUGUCUUCAAUAGGUAUUUCGCAAGAGGCUUUGAGUAGCACUCUAGGCCCAAUUGACGAGUCCAAUGAAUCAAGAUCUGCAAGAGAGUGAAGUCAUCGUUGGAGUUUUGGAUACCGGAGUCUGGCCAGAAAGUAAAAGCUUCGAUGAUACUGGAUUUGGGCCAAUCCCAAGUUCAUGGAAGGAGAAUGUGAAACUGGAACAAAAUUCACUGCAUCAAACUGUAGCAAGAAAUUGAUUGGAGCCAAGUAACAUCUUCGUUUUAUUCAAUUCUUAGCCGAUUAUUUUCAUAAACAUCUGGUAGUUGAAACUUGAAUUAUUGGUCUGUCUUCAAUAGGUAUUUCGCAAGAGGCUAUGAGGCUACUCUGGGCCCAAUUGACAAGUCCAAGGAAUCAAGAUUUGCAAGAGACGAGGAUGGCCAUGGAACCCACGCUGCCUUAACCAUCGCAGGAUCAGAAUUGGUGGUUGAUUUUCAUGGUGGG
RNAcentral lists this long non-coding RNA (833 nucleotides) under Olea europaea subsp. europaea. The record is from RNAcentral. Lineage: Eukaryota; Viridiplantae; Streptophyta; Magnoliopsida; Lamiales; Oleaceae.